GAACGAACGCUGGCGGCGCGCCUAAUACAUGCAAGUCGAGCGAGAAGACGUAGCAAUACGUUUGUAAAGCGGCGAACGGGUGAGGAAUACAUGGGUAACCUACCCUCGAGUGGGGAAUAACUAGCCGAAGGGUUAGCUAAUACCGCGUACGCUCCUUGGACUUCGGUUCAGGGAGGAAAGCGAUACCGUGGGUAUCGCGCUCUUGGAUGGGCUCAUGUCCUAUCAGCUUGUUGGUGAGGAACGGCUCACCAAGGCUUCGACGGGUAGCUGGUCUGAGAGGACGAUCAGCCACACUGGCACUGCGACACGGGCCAGACUCCUACGGGAGGCAGCAGUAAGGAAUAUUGCGCAAUGGGC
Molecule: ribosomal RNA, 357 nt
Filed under: uncultured bacterium
Lineage: Bacteria
Description: bacterial SSU rRNA
Rfam family: Bacterial small subunit ribosomal RNA
Source: RNAcentral